GAUGAACGCUGGCGGCGUGCCUAAUACAUGCAAGUCGAGCGAACAGACGAGGAGCUUGCUCCUCUGACGUUAGCGGCGGACGGGUGAGUAACACGUGGAUAACCUACCUAUAAGACUGGGAUAACUUCGGGAAGCCGGAGCUAAUACCGGAUAAUAUAUUGAACCGCAUGGUUCAAUAGUGAAAGACGGUUUUGCUGUCACUUAUAGAUGGAUCCGCGCCGCAUUAGCUAGUUGGUAAGGUAACGGCUUACCAAGGCAACGAUGCGUAGCCGACCUGAGAGGGUGAUCGGCCACACUGGAACUGAGACACGGUCCAGACUCCUACGGGAGGCAGCAGUAGGGAAUCUGCCGCAAUGGGCGAAAGCCUGACGGAGCAACGCCGCGUGAGUGAUGAAGGUCUUCGGAUCGUAAAACUCUGUUAUUAGGGAAGAACAAAUGUGUAAGUAACUAUGCACGUCUUGACGGUACCUAAUCAGAAAGCCACGGCUAACUACGUG
RNAcentral lists this ribosomal RNA (497 nucleotides) under uncultured bacterium. RNAcentral describes it as "partial 16S ribosomal RNA". It matches the Rfam family "Bacterial small subunit ribosomal RNA", at positions 28 to 507 of the family's 1533-position model. The record is from RNAcentral.